This 1904-nucleotide long non-coding RNA is filed under the name Gallus gallus (chicken). Its description in RNAcentral is "lncRNA (ENSGALG00010025842.1)". The record is from RNAcentral. Lineage: Eukaryota; Metazoa; Chordata; Aves; Galliformes; Phasianidae.
GGGCGAUGAGACCGCGGGGAGGGUGGAAAUCCGCCCCGAUUUGGGGGUUAUUGGGUGGGAGAAGAGCAACAAUUAAUAAAUGAAUAAAUUCAUUCAAAUGGAAAAUGAGACAACAAAUAGCGAGCUGGUGGGGGAGGGGGGCGUCUUAAAGCACGGGACCCCCCACCUGCUUGGGAGAUGGGGUUUUUUCUCGGCAUACGGUGUUCCCCAGAUGCGGGUUUUGCUGUUUUUGCCAAUGUGAGGAGGUUUUACGGGAGGGUGGGGGGGUGUCAGUGUCUGUAGGAAGAGGAAGGAGACAAAGCCCGUGCGUAUCUCCGGUGUAUAUGGCAUAAUCUCUACGUGAGGUGUACGCGUCCCACUGCAUCCCUGCGGGGGGGGAGGUGGGGGCUGUGCUGUCCGUGCUUCGGUGCGGCUGACAGUGCUGUCCCCAACUCCGCUGUCGCAAGGAGAAGGAAAAGGCUCCCACGCCGCCUUAGGAAACCCCGCGGGGAAAAUCCCAAUUCCCCUUUUGGAGACUUUUGCUGUCUCAAUUCGCAGCCAAAAGUGUGUUAUCAUCCGCCAUAGCCCCGAAUCUCAUCGCGCUCCCCACUCCCCCGCCCCUCCCAAAGGACCUUGCUUUGCAGCAGCUCUGCUGAUGGAGAGUGUCUGUGCUUCUUUGAUGACGGUGUAGCAAAAGAGGUAGGAAAAGCCCCCUUUUUUGCCCCCUCCGGUGCCAGCAGCACGCUGGGCUCGAGCAGGCCGCAUCUCCCCCCACCUCGGGGUGGCCUCGAACAGCUUAGAAGGGAGGAGGGGGGAAAUAGGAAUAAAUAAGAGUGAUUGUGUUUUCUUUUGAGGGGCAAUAUCCCAUUCAGAUACAUCCCAGCCGCCCCUCAAGAAUAACCCCAGGUUAAGAAACCUCACGUUUCCAUCAGCAGACGACGGUUCUCUACCUAAAAAGCCGUGUCUGCUGCGGGCAGAGGGUAGAAGAAGAGGUUCCGUUGUGUGGGGGUGUGGGACUGAUUCCCCUAAAACCCCGUCUGCCCUUUUUGAAUGGGAGGUCUGAUGGGAUGCGAUGUGUUUUCUCCGUAUGUGAGCUCUGCUUUCCUGUCCAAACGAACCCACCAUGUUUUGCUCUUCUCCAUCAGGUGUGUGCAGAAGGAGCUUCGGGACGCUCGGGGAGGGUAGGACCGGGAGGGCAGUGGAUUUGGAGCCGAGAGGAGUUUGGUCUGGGACAGUUUGGUUCUAUAGAGAGAGAGAGAGAGAAAAGAAAAUGGGAUUUUUCUAAUUAAGGCUGAAGAGGGAGAAGGGCCGCGGUGCUGCAUCGCUGCUCUCCGCUCCGCGCUUUGCUCCGUUCGUUUUAUACCGGGAUCGGGGGGGGUGCUGGGGAGGGGGGGGGGGGUAUUAAUUUUAUGGCAAAGCAGCGUUUUCUGGGAAGCCUGGACGCUCACCACGUGCUCCCUCUUCCCCGCGUUCAUGGUCAUGACCAGCAGCGGCGAGGAAUGCUUUUAUUUACGAGCUGCAAAGGAUGGAGCCGACUCCUUCCAAAUCCCUCCCCGGGCUGAGAGGGGCCUUUCCCUUCAGCUGCGUUUCCCUUCCAGCCUUCCUCCACCCGCACCCCUUUCCUGGACGCUUCCAUUUACCCCUCCCUCCCCCUUUUAUUAUUAUUAUUAUUAUUAUUUAAUGUUUAUGAUAAUCUUAUUUUUUUUUUCAAACCGGGAAAAUGUCAUCGUUUCUUCCCUUCGUUCGUGUUUUUCCCCGCGGUCCCUUCCCCCAACACCAGGAUCCCCCCCCCCCCCCCUGCCCCCCACCUUCUGUACAAAGGAGGGCAUCGCUUCUCGCAGUGCAAUAAACUCGGGCUGUGUUUUCCGUGGGUAUUUCUGUACACGCGUGCAAUGAGAGGAGGAGGGCGGUGGGGGAGAGCUCAG